RNAcentral lists this ribosomal RNA (534 nucleotides) under uncultured bacterium. Its description in RNAcentral is "bacterial SSU rRNA". It matches the Rfam family "Bacterial small subunit ribosomal RNA", at positions 975 to 1509 of the family's 1533-position model. The record is from RNAcentral.
UUGGCCUUGACAUACUAAGAACUUUCCAGAGAUGGAUUGGUGCCUUCGGGAACUUAGAUACAGGUGCUGCAUGGCUGUCGUCAGCUCGUGUCGUGAGAUGUUGGGUUAAGUCCGCAACGAGCGCAACCCUUUUCCUUAUUUGCCAGCGGGUCAUGCCGGGAACUUUAAGGAUACUGCCAGUGACAAACUGGAGGAAGGCGGGGACGACGUCAAGUCAUCAUGGCCCUUACGGCCAGGGCUACACACGUGCUACAAUGGUCGGUACAAAGGGUUGCUACCUCGCGAGAGGAUGCUAAUCUCAAAAAGCCGAUCGUAGUCCGGAUCGCAGUUUGCAACUCGACUGCGUGAAGUCGGAAUCGCUAGUAAUCGCGGAUCAGAAUGCCGCGGUGAAUACGUUCCCGGGCCUUGUACACACCGCCCGUCACACCAUGGGAGUUUGUUGCACCAGAAGUAGGUAGUCUAACCGCAAGGAGGACGCUUACCACGGUGUGGCCGAUGACUGGGGUGAAGUCGUAACAAGGUAGGCGUAGAUGA